GGAAUCUUGAAGCGUUCUGGAUUGACUUUAACCUUGGAAGUCAAAGCAUCUCUUUUUACUUCUGUGUGACUGAUAAGGAUGCUCAGGAUGGCCAGUGGAACACUCUGUGUAUUGCUGACAAUGAGGUCCACAGUUACACAGUAGAAGAGGAGAGCGGCAGAAAGACUCUCCAUCUGGUUCUGACUGAGCCUGUCAACAUCGACAGCUUAGAGGGCUCCAGAGUCUGCAUCAAAUUCAG
This is a non-coding RNA of Pimephales promelas (fathead minnow), 238 nucleotides long. NCBI's taxonomy places the organism in Eukaryota, Metazoa, Chordata, Actinopteri, Cypriniformes, Leuciscidae. The record is from RefSeq and is a predicted model, not a curated record.